RNAcentral lists this transfer RNA (80 nucleotides) under Penicillium expansum. It matches the Rfam family "tRNA". From Rfam's summary of the family: Transfer RNA (tRNA) molecules are approximately 80 nucleotides in length. Lineage: Eukaryota; Fungi; Ascomycota; Eurotiomycetes; Eurotiales; Aspergillaceae. The record is from Rfam by way of RNAcentral.
GGCAGCUUGGCAGAGUGGUCUAAUGCGAUUGACUUGAAAUCGAUUCUCCUUGGAGGCGGCGUCAAAUCCGCCAGCUGUCG